UAUUAUUUCUUGUUUGUUAUUUGUUGUUGUUAUUGUUGGUUGUCGUUGUUAUCGUCGUCAUCGUUGUCGUCGUCGUCGUCGAUCCUCGUCGUCGAUCGUCGUCGUCGUUGUUGUUGAUGUUGACCGUGGAUGGUGGAUGGUGGUGUACCGUAUUUCAUCACCGUUAAUAUGUUUCAUUAGGUGCACUAACCUCAUUCGUGAUGAAAAAAGGUGUCUAGAGCUUGUAAAAUCAUCGAUAUAAAGUAAUAAUAAUAAUUAUUAUUAUUAAUAAUAAUAAUAAUAAUAAUAAUAAUAAUAAUAAUAAUAGCAAUAAUAAUAAUAAUAAUAGUGUGGUAUGCGUUGUAUUCUACGUCGAACCUCGUCAUCCUAGAAGUAUAUCUCUGUGUGAAAUAACGAGGAAGGAAGGAAGAGACGAAGAAAGCAAUUUUCCGAGGAGGAUAAAAAACGAGAGACAGAGAAAGAAGAGAGACAGAGUGCAAGAGGAAGAGUGAGAACGAGCAAGGGAGUGGAAACAAGAGAGAGGUCGACGGAGGAUAAAGGAUGCCAGUCCGUAAGCAAGGUGAGUCCGAGUACUUUACAACCCCGUACGAGACAGAAAGCUUUCUAAUGGGAUUCACGCAACGUGGUACAAGAAAGAGCGAAGAUCGAGUUGGUAGGCGCUUUGAAAAAGGAAAAAAAAGAAAAAAAUAAAAUAAAAAAAAAGGGGAAAAAAAAGAAAAAAGAAGAAUUCAAAGUCCAACGUGAAACUCCUGUAUUUGACGUCGAUUGAAUAUAUCGUUAAAUAAAAUUAAAAUAAAAAAACAAAAAGGGAAAGAAAAAAGAAAAAAGAGAGAGAGAGAGAGAGAGAGAGGGAAAAAAAAAAUAUAUAUAUAUAUAUAUAUAUAUAUUGGUGCUUAACCCAAUGGUACGAAACAUACCCCCAGAGAUAUGUAUUGAAUCGAAUACGAUCUGGAAUAUAUAAUUGACGAUCGCCAAUGACUCCAAAGACUAGAAUCAUAAAAUUCAUUAUGAAUAUAUAUCGAUAAAUGAAUAUUACACGAAAAUACAUGUCGUCGUUGUACAUUAUUAAAUAAGAAAAUCAACUUUACCAAGUCUUUGCAAGCUCGUAGAUUUUUUUUGCGAUAUGAAAGAAGAGAGGCAGAAACAGAGAGAGAGAGAGAGAGAGAGAGAGAGAGAGAGAGAGAAUUAAUCUAACAAAGUGAUCGAAAAGAAACGAUUGAUUUUUUUUAAAAAGCAUCUAAAAACUUUCGGCCCUAUUUAGGAUCUAGAGACGUGUGUACGAUCGAAAAAAAGAAAAAAAAAAAAGAAUUGAAAUGAAAUCAUGACACUCAAGUAUCAUAUACCAAGAUAGAUAAGUAAAUACUUGCAUGAGAUUGAAGAAAAUAUCAACGAAAGAUAAAAAAAAAAAAAAAAAAAAAAAGAAAAAACAAAAAAAGAAUGAAAGAAUUAACGAAAUCAAAUGAGACUAAUAAAUAUUUAAAAAUCAAUCAGUAAAAUAUUAAAAUCAAACUUUUAUAUUAUAUAUUUCGAACAAAUUAUUAACAAUAUCCAAAAAUUGUUGAAAUAUUUGCAUUUUAACGCAUACCUUAUGUAUUUAUGUAUGUACACGUACGUCAUUCUUUUUAUCAUGUCUUUUUUCUUUUUUUCUUUUUAUUUUUCUUUUUUUUUUGAUUUUUUUCUUUUCUCCUUUUUUGUUUUUUUUUUUUUCUUCUUUUUCACCUAAUAAUCCCAUAUCGUUCCUCACGUCUUCGAUGUAUUUCACGAUCGAUAGCAAUUUUUCUCUCGACUUUAACGUUCCUCGAUCAAAAUCGAUAUGUUCAAGGAGUUCUUAUAUCUCUGAGAACAUCGAACGCGUUCAUGUUAUAUCCAGCUAUCGUAAACGUCCAGGAUAGAUCGACACAUACAUACAUAUAUACACAUAUAUAUAUAUAUAUAUAUAUAUAUAUAUAUAUAUAUACGUGUGUACCUUUUCAUUUUUCUUUUUCCUUUUUUUCUUUUUUCUUUCUUUCCCUUGAAUUAUAUGCAGUAACCGUCAUCGUUAAGACGAAUACGAAUGAUAACAAGUAGGUCAGACAGAUUUAGAUUAUAUACCGAACAAUGAACAAUUUUACUAUCCAAAAGAAAUAUAUGCGGCCAUAAUUAUGAAAAUGAUUACUGGACUAAGUCAUACAUUUUGUUCUUUCGAGAUAUCUAAUGGAUUAUUAUUUGAAUAAAUAAUAAAAAAAUUCUUAUAUUAUUAUGUCACAUUUUAAUUUAGAAUUUUAUUAUAUUUAAUUUUGAUUAAUGAAAAUUCCUUUAUGAAUGUGAAAGUUUCGUUUGAAUUACAUAUAAAAAGAUUGUUUUUAAAGUAUUAAUUGACUUAGAUCAUUUUCAUAAUUAUAGACACACACAUAUAUAUAUAUAUAUAUGAUCGAGUCACGUUUUUAAAGA
Molecule: RNA transcript, 2430 nt
Organism: Vespa velutina
Lineage: Eukaryota; Metazoa; Arthropoda; Insecta; Hymenoptera; Vespidae
Gene name: disks large 1 tumor suppressor protein-like
Exons: 3
Source: RefSeq, a predicted model, not a curated record